This 2268-nucleotide long non-coding RNA is filed under the name Homo sapiens (human). RNAcentral describes it as "HSALNT0114133". The record is from RNAcentral. Lineage: Eukaryota; Metazoa; Chordata; Mammalia; Primates; Hominidae.
GAAGGGACUGAAGAUGUUUCUCUCUGUCUCUCUGCAUUUUUGUAUAUGUAGCUGGAAGAAACGAAGAACCUCAACAAUUUUUAUUUCUACUUUUGAUCAAGGAAAAGCGUAUUUAGAAGGUUCGCUAGAGAAAAAUUUAGCAGUUUGGAGGAUUGAGAUCCUUUGGCAGAGAUAUGGGAGUGUGAGCAGGAAAUAUUUUUUUAAAGGAAGAGCUGGUGUUUUAGGAUGUCAAAGGUACAAAUUAUGAUGGUGCCAUGGUUGACAGAAAUUUGCAAGAUCUCCGUAUCUACAUGAACUCUUUGCUCCUGACUAUUAGCUGACUGGUCCAGAAAUUCUUGAUCCAAGCUUGAUAUGUAAGCUUCUCUCUCCUGUGAAUAUGGCACUGAGAGACACAAGAUUAGAAGCCCUGGGUGCUGAUCAAACUCAUAGCAAGGAAGAGUGGUGGCUCAAGACUGCCUGCUCCUGAGACUUCUGAGAAGGGUGUCUCUCUGUCUGUGUGGAUGCCUGAUGCUUCUGGUAUUUCACAAAUCUUGAGCCUGGCCAGGAGUUUACUAACAGGCACCCCUGUGUCAUCUGAACAAGAUAAAUAUCCCGCAGUGGAAUCAGCCUUCCCAGGGACCUCCCUGGACUCUGAGAAGUGAUUAAAGGGACUGUGCGGCAGUCAUGGGGAUGCAAGCAGCUGUGGCCAUCAAACUGGUUCUAACAGACAGUAUGAGAUCUUCAUGAUUCUGGACCAUAAGGAUUCCAAAUAGGCUGUUCACUUAUGAGUAGGCCUGUAACACGGACGUGUGAGAAUAAACGCCAGAGAAAAAUUUUUGUGGCUGGUCUACUUGUGGGUACAAAGGCCCAGACCCAUUGUUUCAACUGGAGACCUGUGAAGGGCGAUCCCAGCCUCAGAACCUCGCAUGGGAUGGACUCAGUACUCUGCUGCAACUGCAUUUCAGUUUAACUUCUCCCUUUACCCAGUCCUAACUUCCUUAUUCCCUAAAAAAUGUUUCUGGGAGUGCUCCUCAGUAAACUUCAUGCAUAAACACUUCAGAGGCUCAGAGUAUGUUUCCUGGAGAAUUCCAUCUGUGGCGUUUCCUCUUCAUGCCUACUGCCACCAUCCAGGUUUAGGCCCCCAUUACCGCUUACCUGGAAUAUUGCAAAAGCUUUAUCACUAUUCUCUUUGCUCACUGGCUCUCCUAUAAUCAGUCUACACAACAGCAGACUAAUUUUUUUUAUCCCAGAUCAUAGCUCUUAUGCUGUUUUCCUGCUCAAAAACUUUGGUGGCCCCCCAGUCUAUUUAAUUAGGUUCUUACUCCUUAUUGUGAUUUUCAAGACCCUUCCCAAUUUAGCCCCCACUAUUUUCAGCUCUCAUCUUCUACUCCAGUAUAAGUAUGCUCCGCUCCAUUUAAACUAGAACAUUUGCAAUCCUCCAAAUCUACUGUAAAAAUUCAUUUUUCCUAUAUUUGUUCCAAAUGUUCUCUUCUAUUAUCUUCUUUAUAAAAUUUGAACCAUAUUUCAAGGUCCAUUCUCCUUUUUCUUUUUCAUUUUUUUUCUAGAUGGAGUCUCGCACUGUCGCCCAGGCUAGAGUGCAGUGGCGCGAUCUCGGCUUACUGCAACCUCCGCCUCCUGGGUUCAAGCGAUUCUCCUGCCUCAGCCUUCCGAGUAGCUGGGAUUACAGGUGCCCCCCACCACACCCAGCUAAUUUUUGUAUUUUUAGUAGAGACGGGAUUUCACUGUAUUGGCCAGGCUGGUCUCAAACUCCUAACCUUGUGAUCUACCCACCUCGGCCUCCCAAAGUGCUGGGAUUACAGGCGUGAGCCACUGCUCCUGGCCAGGCUUAAGGUCCAUUGUGAGAGCAAUAUUCAUUCUUGGCAUACCUGUAUCAAUGUAUCUUAUGUACCCCAUAAAUAUAUAUCCCUACUAUGUGACCAAAAAAAUUAAAAAUAAAAUAAAAAUUUAAAACCCAUACAUUCUCCAUGCAGAUUUUCCUCGUACCUCAACCCAAUGUCAUCUCUUCUUCAUUAGUUAUCCCAAUGCAGUUUGUACUUCUCCUUGGUAUCUAUUGAUUAUAUUUACUGUGUGUCAAUUUCACCAUUUUACCUCUCUUCCCUAUCCUUUCACCUGCACUGAUAGAAUGUAACUGUGAGAGCAAGAUUUUACCUCAAUCAUCUUUGUAUCACUUGAAACAAGAAGCAUCAUCCUUAAUCCUGGAGUUCAAUAAAUCAUUAAUAAAUUCAAUUGAAUACAAGCUGCCAAUUUGUUUGACAUUUUUGUGAAUGC